RNAcentral lists this ribosomal RNA (506 nucleotides) under Salmonella enterica subsp. enterica serovar Senftenberg. RNAcentral describes it as "bacterial SSU rRNA". It matches the Rfam family "Bacterial small subunit ribosomal RNA", at positions 1 to 496 of the family's 1533-position model. Lineage: Bacteria; Pseudomonadati; Pseudomonadota; Gammaproteobacteria; Enterobacterales; Enterobacteriaceae. The record is from RNAcentral.
AAAUUGAAGAGUUUGAUCAUGGCUCAGAUUGAACGCUGGCGGCAGGCCUAACACAUGCAAGUCGAACGGUAACAGGAAGCAGCUUGCUGCUUCGCUGACGAGUGGCGGACGGGUGAGUAAUGUCUGGGAAACUGCCUGAUGGAGGGGGAUAACUACUGGAAACGGUGGCUAAUACCGCAUAACGUCGCAAGACCAAAGAGGGGGACCUUCGGGCCUCUUGCCAUCAGAUGUGCCCAGAUGGGAUUAGCUUGUUGGUGAGGUAACGGCUCACCAAGGCAACGAUCCCUAGCUGGUCUGAGAGGAUGACCAGCCACACUGGAACUGAGACACGGUCCAGACUCCUACGGGAGGCAGCAGUGGGGAAUAUUGCACAAUGGGCGCAAGCCUGAUGCAGCCAUGCCGCGUGUAUGAAGAAGGCCUUCGGGUUGUAAAGUACUUUCAGCGGGGAGGAAGGUGUUGUGGUUAAUAACCGCAGCAAUUGACGUUACCCGCAGAAGAAGCACCGG